This 924-nucleotide long non-coding RNA is filed under the name Nicotiana tabacum (common tobacco). RNAcentral's name for it is "long non-coding RNA (NTAB_LNC001615)". The record is from RNAcentral. Lineage: Eukaryota; Viridiplantae; Streptophyta; Magnoliopsida; Solanales; Solanaceae.
UUUAAUAUCAUUUCAACAGGAAAUUGUUUUUGAGAAAUACAAAAGGAGCACCAAAUUGGCAACAACAAUUCAUUGUUGAAUUUAUCUUCAUUUCCGUCAUACUUAAGUCAAUUACUACUAAUACACAACACCCAAUAAGAAAAACAAAUUAUUAGUGUUUUCUUAAUUCUUUCUUUUUCAUUUAUUUACUGGAGUGCGAAAUUUACCUCAAAGAGCUGAACUACUAUCAAUUCUUCUUCUUCUUCUUCUUCUUCUUCUACUUCUUCUUGGCAGAGUGAUUAGAUGUCUUAACACUGUUCAAAUUAACACUUUGAUAUGAUUUUUUCUCCAUCAAACUUUUUGACCAUUACUUUAAUAUUUUCUUCCAAAAUCACUAAUACAAUGUAUAAACCAAAUUAAUAUCUUAACUUCCAUUCCCACUCAAAAAGUGUCUAUAAUAUAAUAUAGAAUGGAAGGAUUAGUUAAUAUCAUAUUUGUCAUAGUUUACUUCCACUGACCAAUAUAUAAAAUCUUUUUGAUGGAGAAAUUAGAAUUGUCAGUAUAAAGCUGACCAGUAUAGAGAAUAAAUUAGUAACAAAAUGACAAUUGGCAACAACAAUAAGUAAUAGGUUGAUUUAACAGCUUAAGAACAGCCAGAUCAUAUGCUGGAUCAACACCUACGAUCUUCGCUUCCUUAGCUACGCUUUCUACCAAAUGGUUCUGCUAUUAAAUUAAUUAGAACUAAUAAGCUUACCAAUUAUAUUACUAUAGAUGAUAAGACAAAAAAUGAUGCUUUGAAGUCUUUGUCUUGCUGAAGUUCAAAGAGCUGAACAACUCUUAUCUUCAUCUUGCUUAAGUUCAUAAACUCUGAAAUUAAAGCACAGUAGCAGAGUUAGACGAAUAAACAAAAGAGGAAACAAAGAGAAGACGUAACAAUUAAAGCUU